CGCAUCUGUGCAUGCAGCAUAUCAAUAAGCGGAGGAAAAGAAACUAACAAGGAUUCCCCUAGUAACGGCGAGUGAAGCGGGAAGAGCUCAAAUUUGAAAUCUUAAAGGGUUUCCCUUUACGAAUUGUAGUUUAAAGAAGGUGUUUUCUGUUGAGGUUUUGGUAAAAGUUCUUUGGAAUAGGACAUCAUAGAGGGUGAGAAUCCCGUAUUUGACCUUUACUUUCAACUUUGUGAUACACUUUCAAAGAGUCGGAUUGUUUGGGAAUGCAGUCCAAAAUGGGUGGUAAAUUUCAUCUAAAGCUAAAUAUUGGCGAGAGACCGAUAGCGAACAAGUACCGUGAGGGAAAGAUGAAAAGAACUUUGAAAAGAGAGUUAAACAGUACGUGAAAUUGUCAAAAGGGAAGCGUUUGACACCAGUGUUGUUUUUCUGAAAAUCAAUUAAAGAACUGUUUAUGCUAAGUUGUUUAGACUUUAUCAGCUAUCUGUUUAGUUUUGAGCUUUUCUUUAAUGCACCUUUUCAGUUAACAAGUCAACAUCAAUUUCUUUUGCUGUAAAAAAGCUUGAGGAAGGUGGCUUGAGAUUCGUCUCAAGUGUUUAUAGCCUCUUGCCUAUGCAGUCGGAGAGAUUGAGGUCUGCAGCGUAGAUCCUUCGGGGCUAAAUGCAUUUGUGCUAAGUUAUAGCAUUUUAUAGACAACUUGUUGACUAUGAUUUGUCUUGUAGCUUACUCGCUUAUGUUAUUUUACCUACGCUUAGGAUGUUGAUCUCUCACAGUCGAC
This 775-nucleotide ribosomal RNA is filed under the name uncultured Neocallimastigales. Its description in RNAcentral is "partial large subunit ribosomal RNA". It matches the Rfam family "Eukaryotic large subunit ribosomal RNA", at positions 26 to 644 of the family's 3401-position model. Lineage: Eukaryota; Fungi; Neocallimastigomycota; Neocallimastigomycetes; Neocallimastigales. The record is from RNAcentral.